Molecule: ribosomal RNA, 254 nt
Filed under: uncultured bacterium
Lineage: Bacteria
Description: partial 16S ribosomal RNA
Rfam family: Bacterial small subunit ribosomal RNA
Source: RNAcentral
UACGGAGGGUGCAAGCGUUAUCCGGAUUUACUGGGUUUAAAGGGUGCGUAGGCGGGUAGGUAAGUCAGUGGUGAAAUCUCCGAGCUUAACUCGGAAACUGCCUUUGAUACUAUUUAUCUUGAAUAUUGUGGAGGUAAGCGGAAUAUGUCAUGUAGCGGUGAAAUGCUUAGAUAUGACAUAGAACACCUAUUGCGAAGGCAGCUUACUACGCAUAUAUUGACGCUGAGGCACGAAAGCGUGGGGGAUCAAACAGG